AAACCAACAGGGAUUGCCUCAGUAACGGCGAGUGAAGCGGCAAAAGCUCAAAUUUGAAAUCUAGUGUCUUUCGGCGCUCGAGUUGUAAUUUGAAGAUGGCGACUUUGGGGGUGGCCUUUAUCUAUGUUCCUUGGAACAGGACGUCACAGAGGGUGAGAAUCCCGUCUGAUGAGGUGACCCAUCCCUUUGUAAAGCGCUUUCGAAGAGUCGAGUUGUUUGGGAAUGCAGCUCUAAGUGGGUGGUAAAUUCCAUCUAAAGCUAAAUAUUGGCGAGAGACCGAUAGCGAACAAGUACAGUGAUGGAAAGAUGAAAAGAACUUUGAAAAGAGAGUGAAAAAGUACGUGAAAUUGUUGAAAGGGAAGGGUAUUAGAUCAGACUUGGUGUUGUGUGAUUAUCUUCCCCUUGUGGGUUGUGCACUCGCGCUUCACUGGGCCAGCAUCGAUUGGGGUGGCGGGAUAAGUGCUUAGGAACGUAGCUUUUCCUUCGGGGAUUGUGUUAUAGCCUCUGCCCAUACCGCCCGUCUCGAUCGAGGACUGCGUCUUUUGACUAGGAUGCUGGCGUAAUGAUCUAAUAUCGC
Molecule: ribosomal RNA, 577 nt
Filed under: Wickerhamomyces alni
Lineage: Eukaryota; Fungi; Ascomycota; Saccharomycetes; Phaffomycetales; Wickerhamomycetaceae
Description: eukaryotic LSU rRNA
Rfam family: Eukaryotic large subunit ribosomal RNA
Source: RNAcentral